UGCUUGGUAACCUAGUGGUUAAGGGUUCAGCAUUGUUACUGCUGUGGCUUGGGUUCUAUCCCUGGCCCGGGAA
This 73-nucleotide transfer RNA is filed under the name Sus scrofa (pig). It matches the Rfam family "tRNA". Rfam says of the family: Transfer RNA (tRNA) molecules are approximately 80 nucleotides in length. Their secondary structure includes four short double-helical elements and three loops (D, anti-codon, and T loops). Further hydrogen bonds mediate the characteristic L-shaped molecular structure. tRNAs have two regions of fundamental functional importance: the anti-codon, which is responsible for specific mRNA codon recognition, and the 3' end, to which the tRNAs corresponding amino acid is attached (by aminoacyl-tRNA synthetases). tRNAs cope with the degeneracy of the genetic code in two manners: having more than one tRNA (with a specific anti-codon) for a particular amino acid; and 'wobble' base-pairing, i.e. permitting non-standard base-pairing at the 3rd anti-codon position. Lineage: Eukaryota; Metazoa; Chordata; Mammalia; Artiodactyla; Suidae. The record is from Rfam by way of RNAcentral.